RNAcentral lists this unclassified non-coding RNA (200 nucleotides) under Psathyrella sp. Its description in RNAcentral is "partial internal transcribed spacer 2". The record is from RNAcentral. Lineage: Eukaryota; Fungi; Basidiomycota; Agaricomycetes; Agaricales; Psathyrellaceae.
UUAAGUUCAGCGGGUAGUCCUACCUGAUUUGAGGUCAAAUUGUCAAGAAUCGUCCUUGCGGACAGUUUAGAAGCAAGUCUAAGUCCAAUCCACAGCGUAGAUAAUUAUCACACCAAUAGACGGGGCUCAGUUUGAACUCGCUAAUUCAUUUAAGGGGAGCAGACCACCAAAGUGUUCUGCACAACCCCCACAUCCAAGCU